RNAcentral lists this ribosomal RNA (259 nucleotides) under uncultured bacterium. RNAcentral's name for it is "partial 16S ribosomal RNA". It matches the Rfam family "Bacterial small subunit ribosomal RNA", at positions 190 to 450 of the family's 1533-position model. The record is from RNAcentral.
AGUCUUUACGGAGAAAGCUUUAUGCACCAUUGGAUGAGCCUGCACUUGAUUAGUUUGUUGGUAGGGUAAUGGCCUACCAAGACUGUGAUCAAUAGCUGAUUUGAGAGGAUGAUCACCCACAUUGGGACUGAGACACGGCCCAAACUCCUACGGGAGGCAGCAGUGGGGAAUCUUGCACAAUGGAGGAAACUCUGAUGCAGCGAUGCCGCGUGAGUGAAGAAGGCCUUUGGGUUGUAAAGCUCUUUCGUCGGGGAAGAAA